Molecule: ribosomal RNA, 271 nt
Filed under: uncultured bacterium
Lineage: Bacteria
Description: partial 16S ribosomal RNA
Rfam family: Bacterial small subunit ribosomal RNA
Source: RNAcentral
GACGAAGGUGGCGAGCGUUGUUCGGAAUCACUGGGCAUAAAGCGCACGUAGGCGGUCCGUUAAGUUGGAUGUGAAAGCCCUCGGCCCAACCGGGGAAUUGCGUCCAAAACUGUCGGACUUGAGGACUAGAGAGGUGCAUGGAAUUCCUGGUGGAGCGGUGAAAUGCGUUGAUAUCAGGAGGAACACCGGAGGCGAAGGCGAUGCACUGGCUGGUUUCUGACGCUGAGGUGCGAAAGCCAGGGGAGCAAACGGGAUUAGAAACCCUAGUAGU